GUCCACGCCAUAAACGAUGAGAACUGGAUGUCGGGAGGGUCUGCCUCUCGGUGUCGUAGCUAACGCGUUAAGUUCUCCGCCUGGGGAGUACGGCCGCAAGGUUGAAACUCAAAUGAAUUGACGGGGACCCGCACAAGCGGUGGAGCAUGUGGUUUAAUUCGAUGCAACGCGAAGAACCUUACCUGGUCUUGACAUCCUAGGAAUCCUGCAGAGAUGUGGGAGUGCCUUCGGGAACCUGGAGACAGGUGCUGCAUGGCUGUCGU
RNAcentral lists this ribosomal RNA (263 nucleotides) under uncultured bacterium. RNAcentral's name for it is "partial 16S ribosomal RNA". It matches the Rfam family "Bacterial small subunit ribosomal RNA", at positions 793 to 1055 of the family's 1533-position model. The record is from RNAcentral.